Molecule: ribosomal RNA, 498 nt
Filed under: uncultured Actinomycetes bacterium
Lineage: Bacteria; Bacillati; Actinomycetota; Actinomycetes
Description: bacterial SSU rRNA
Rfam family: Bacterial small subunit ribosomal RNA
Source: RNAcentral
GAGUUUGAUCUUGGCUCAGGACGAACGCUGGCGGCACGCUUAAAACAUGCAAGUCGAACGUGAAGCCCGGGCUUGCCCGGGUGGAAAGUGGCGAACGGGUGCGUAACACGUGAGCAACCUGCCCCGAAGACCGGGAUAACACCGGGAAACCGGUGCUAAUACCGGAUGCCUUCACCAUGUCGCAUGGCGAGGUGAAGAAAUGGAUUCCGCUUCGGGAUGGGCUCGCGGCCUAUCAGCUUGUUGGUGGGGUAACGGCCUACCAAGGCAACGACGGGUAGCUGGUCUGAGAGGAUGUCCAGCCACACUGGGACUGAGACACGGCCCAGACUCCUACGGGAGGCAGCAGUUAGGAAUCUUGCGCAAUGGGCGAAAGCCUGACGCAGCGAUGCCGCGUGCGGGAUGAAGGCCUUCGGGUCGUAAACCGCUUUCAGCAGGGACGAUAGUGACGGUACCUGCAGAAGAAGCCCCGGCCAACUACGUGCCAGCCGCCGCAGUAAG